AAGUCCCCCACCUCUACUGUGAGAGAUGAACUUCAAUCAAAAAUUGUGAGAUAUCUGAAAUAUAUUUUGCGACAAUUGUUCUAGUCAUUCAUCCAGUCCACACAUUCUCGAAAAAGCAAUGGGCAGCAACACAUCCAAGGGAGUCGAAGUCGCCCAAGCGGCGGCGGCAGCGGGACCAACUGUUCCAUCCGCCACUCAAGGUUCUGCAGCCGGCGAGAAACCAAAAUGCAAGGCCUGCUGCGCCUGUCCCGAGACUAAGCGAGCACGUGAUCAAUGUAUUGUGGAACAAGGAGAGGAGAACUGCACGACAUUGAUUGAGGCGCACAAGAAAUGCAUGCGUGAUGCUGGAUUCAACAUCUAAAUGAAUCAAGUGUCUAAUGGCAAAGCCGCCCAUUGUUAAGAACUGUUUUCUUUUUCUUGUUGUAUCUCAUACUAUAGAUAUAGUCUUAAAUUAAAAAACCAACCAAAAUAGAAAAACACAAAUUGUUAAACAAAACGGAUAUAUGUAGUAUGUUUAAUGCACUACAACAAGCUAAAUGAAACUUAGCGUGCGCAAUGCCACCACAGCGGCCAUAUAAAAGGUAAUGCACAGCAUCGUAGCGAAGGCCAAAAUUCUCGAGGGCUGUGGCACCGGAUACACUGCAUAGACCAAUGUAUGCAGAAUGCGUGCUACGGAGGCAACACGAAACAGAUUGCAGGCAAUUGCCUGGCUAGGAUUGGAGGAAGGUAUAGAUUGCGGGAGUUACCUGCGUACACGCUCUACAUGGGGAUCAUCAAACUUGACUUCAAGAUUCUUAAAGAAUAAAUCCUCCUCAUUGGGGAAAAUCUAGAAAAUAAUUAAUUGAGAUAGUAUAAAUCUGUUUAAAAAAACAUGUAAUGCCUUCAUGCACUUAGAAAUUUAAUCAAUAUGUAUUCAAGUUUUUUUUUUUUAAUUCGUAUUACAAUUUAUAAAUGUACCAAUAAUAUUAUCAUUUUAGUUUAUGUGACAGUUUAUCUAAUUUCAUUUAUCAACUGAGAUAUAGAUAUUAUUAAUUUUCAAUUGGGGCAUAUUGAAAUUUACCAUAAUAACUUGUUUUCUAUGCACCCUUGAUUUAGACGUUAAGUAUGUAAAUGGAAUUUCUGUUACUGCGUAUUAUGUUUUUGUGUUUUAAUGGAAAGAAAACACUUGAUUAUCUAAUUUGUA
RNA transcript from Drosophila willistoni, 1183 nucleotides. It is a transcript of the gene named cytochrome c oxidase copper chaperone, with no coding region annotated. Lineage: Eukaryota; Metazoa; Arthropoda; Insecta; Diptera; Drosophilidae. The transcript is spliced from 4 exons. The record is from RefSeq and is a predicted model, not a curated record.